This is a long non-coding RNA of Oncorhynchus kisutch (coho salmon), 829 nucleotides long. RefSeq lists it as uncharacterized. NCBI's taxonomy places the organism in Eukaryota, Metazoa, Chordata, Actinopteri, Salmoniformes, Salmonidae. The transcript is spliced from 2 exons. The record is from RefSeq and is a predicted model, not a curated record.
UUCGUUUACUAUGUUGUGUCUAGUCUAUGAGGUCAAGCUAGACUGACGAACAUUACUCUGGAAGUUGAACCUCCAGGGCAGUGAUGCAGCUCCCACUACCAUGCUCUGACAUACAGAGGAACAAAGACACCUCAGGACAUUGACCCUGACGUUGUUACAAUCUGUUUCAUUUGCACCCGCCUCAAAUAUCACAUUAGAUUUCUAGUAUGAGAAUCGUUACUAGUCCUGAACUUGAACAACUGUGGCUAACUCAACAGACAGUAGUAAUAUGGAGUACUUCAUAUUCUGUAAUACAGUAAACGACUGCUAUGUGUAGCACAAUUUGUGAGGAUUACAUUACCUUUUCAAUUCACAUGAGGACAGUUCAAAGAUGCUGUUGAAUGGCGAUACUGUGGCAGUGGUGAAAUCGAGCCCUAGCAGUGGGGCUAUGCUGGAAGGCUCAGAGAUGUAGCCCUGGGGUGUAAUGUAGCAUAAUCAGGCCAGGCCAAGGCCAGGAGAGCUGGAGCAGAGAGAGAGAGAGAGAGGAGAAGCAUGGGUCUUAUCUAUAAUGAAUGACACAAUGGAAGGCCAAAUAUUCCACUUUAUUCAUCAUUAUCUCUUGGGGUGGGAGGAAUCAUUAAACAUUUAAAUACUGGAAGUAUAUAACUACAAGGUCUUUGUGAAAUAUGGAUGUAUUCUAAUAUUGUUAUUCUAUCUGCUUUGUCAAACCAUUUGAUUUAUGAUGUGCGUUUUCACAGUAUUUUUUUUAUUUCACCAAAAUAACUUCUAACACUUGUUUUAUUAGUUAACCUUAGAAAGGAUUAUAUAAAUGCCUACUUUCAUAUUGGUG